This is a non-coding RNA of Durio zibethinus, 769 nucleotides long. NCBI's taxonomy places the organism in Eukaryota, Viridiplantae, Streptophyta, Magnoliopsida, Malvales, Malvaceae. The record is from RefSeq and is a predicted model, not a curated record.
UCUUUUGCACUUUUUCCCCAAAUUAAAACAGUUUGUAGAUGUUUCUACUUCGAAGACCGGUAAACAUGGACAUGCAAAGUGCCACUUUGUGGGCAUUGAUAUCUUACUGGGAAGAAACUUUAAGAUAUUGUUCCUUCAUCCAACAUUUGUGAUGUUCCCCAUGUUAAUCGUACUGACUAUCAGCUGAUCGAUAUAUCUGAAGAUGGUUUUAUUAAAGAUGGAUUUGCUGAAGGAAAGGACCUUGUGGUGACGGUCAUGUCUGCAAUGGGAGAGGAGCAGAUUUGUGCUCUUAAGGACAUUGGUCCUAAAAAUUGAAUAUAAGCAUUUGUACAAGAAACCCUUAUUCAGAUGGUAUUAUAACAUUGCAAUCUUUAGGUUUGUAGAUAGCUGCUGAUCCCUGGAUGAAGGGAACUUGUAUCAACAGCAGGAUGGGACUUAUAUAUAGUCUUAUUUCUAUGUCCUAUUCAUUAAUGAUUGGUUGGGUUUGAGCAUCAAUUUAAGAUCUUUGAGAUAUAUCAUGUUUCCUUAAAGUUAAGAUCGUUGAGAUAUAUCAUGUUUCGUUAAACAUGAUAAAAAUGUUUCUUUUUUCCAAUCGCAACUCAGUGUUACAAUGGGGAUUGUUCUUAAAGUCAAUUUUUUGUUUAUUGCUGGAAUUUCUGUUGGUAUUUAUAGACCCUCUCUGUAGUGAUGCUCACGCCAUAUCUUAGAGGAAGGUUGGAUUUAUCAUAGCAAUCCUGAUUCGUGAUAUCUUGAGCCCUGGACCCUUGAA